This is a non-coding RNA of Epinephelus lanceolatus (giant grouper), 408 nucleotides long. The record is from RefSeq and is a predicted model, not a curated record. NCBI's taxonomy places the organism in Eukaryota, Metazoa, Chordata, Actinopteri, Perciformes, Serranidae.
ACGAGGUGUGUGAAGAUGUUUGAGGAGAGGUGUGAGACAAGAUGUGUGAAGAUGUUUGAGGAGAGGUGUGAGACAAGGUGUGUGAAGAUGUUUGAGGAGAGGUGUGAGACGAGGUGUGUGAAGAUGUUUGGGGAGAGGUGUGAGACGAGGUCUCCACAGAACCUGAACUCUGUGUUCAUGAAGAAUCAGGACUGAGCUCUGAUUAUUGAUUAUAAAUUUUGUAUCAGCUGAACUUUGUUAACGAUCAAACUCACCUGCUGCUGAUUAAAGAACGUCGGCCAUCUUUAAUCUGAAGCUCGAUGAGGUCACGAGGCGCCUGAGGUCAUGUGACCUUUGAUUUGAAUCAUUGAAACUUUGUCACAGAUUAAACCUGAAACUGAAAAAUAAACAUUGUAAUUGAUCUUAAAA